AUACGGGAUUCUUGCGGCGUGGUCGUAUCGAACCGCGUCAGGUCCGGAAGGAAGCAGCGCUAAGGUAUUAUCGCGGGUGUGGGUAAUUCUUGUCUUUG
RNAcentral lists this signal recognition particle RNA (98 nucleotides) under Fusobacteriaceae bacterium. RNAcentral's name for it is "signal recognition particle sRNA small type". It matches the Rfam family "Bacterial small signal recognition particle RNA". From Rfam's summary of the family: The signal recognition particle (SRP) is a universally conserved ribonucleoprotein involved in the co-translational targeting of proteins to membranes. Archaeal SRP consists of a 7S RNA and homologues of the eukaryotic SRP19 and SRP54 proteins. The record is from RNAcentral. Lineage: Bacteria; Fusobacteriati; Fusobacteriota; Fusobacteriia; Fusobacteriales; Fusobacteriaceae.